Molecule: long non-coding RNA, 134 nt
Rfam family: Sphinx conserved region 2
Source: Rfam
UUUGCAGCAUUCUGGCGUUGGCAGCAUAAGUAUAUACAGCCUAAGCGAGCUGGCAUAGCUCCGCUCUUGCAAGGAACAUUUGCUUUUAUGAUUUUCUUCUAUGUGAUAAAUUACCCGAAAUUGCGUAAGUAAAA